AACGAACGCUGGCGGCAGGCUUAACACAUGCAAGCCGAGCGCCCCGCAAGGGGAGCGGCCGACGGGUGAGUAACGCGUGGGAACGUACCUUUUGGUUCGGAACAACUCCGGGAAACUGGAGCUAAUACCGGAUAAGCCCUAACGGGGAAAGAUUUAUCGCCGAAAGAUCGGCCCGCGUCUGAUUAGCUAGUUGGUGAGGUAACGGCUCACCAAGGCGACGAUCAGUAGCUGGUCUGAGAGGAUGAUCAGCCACACUGGGACUGAGACACGGCCCAGACUCCUACGGGAGGCAGCAGUGGGGAAUAUUGGACAAUGGGCGCAAGCCUGAUCCAGCCAUGCCGCGUGAGUGAUGAAGGCCUUAGGGUUGUAAAGCUCUUUUGUCCGGGAAGAUAAUGACUGUACCGGAAGAAUAAGCCCCGGCUAACUUCGUG
Molecule: ribosomal RNA, 431 nt
Filed under: uncultured bacterium
Lineage: Bacteria
Description: partial 16S ribosomal RNA
Rfam family: Bacterial small subunit ribosomal RNA
Source: RNAcentral